RNAcentral lists this transfer RNA (69 nucleotides) under Ictidomys tridecemlineatus (thirteen-lined ground squirrel). RNAcentral describes it as "Spermophilus tridecemlineatus (thirteen-lined ground squirrel) tRNA". It matches the Rfam family "tRNA". Rfam says of the family: Transfer RNA (tRNA) molecules are approximately 80 nucleotides in length. Their secondary structure includes four short double-helical elements and three loops (D, anti-codon, and T loops). Lineage: Eukaryota; Metazoa; Chordata; Mammalia; Rodentia; Sciuridae. The record is from Rfam by way of RNAcentral. RNAcentral also lists the same sequence under 1 other name.
GGGGCUGUAGCUCAGUGGUAGAGCACUUGCCUAGCACAUGUGAGGCCCUGGGUUCGAUCCUCAGCACCA